AAGUCGUAACAAGGUUUCCGUAGGUGAACCUGCGGAAGGAUCAUUAUCGUAGGGCGUUUGCGCCCUUCGAGAUAGCACCCUUUGUCUAUGAGUACCUCUUGUUUCCUCGGCGGGCUCGCUCGCCAACGGGGACUACCACCCAACCCAUUGCAGUGAAGAAGUAUACGUCAGUAACAAACAAAAUCUAUUUACAACUUUCAACAACGGAUCUCUUGGUUCUG
This 221-nucleotide unclassified non-coding RNA is filed under the name Corynespora cassiicola. RNAcentral describes it as "partial internal transcribed spacer region". The stretch from base 1 to 46 matches the Rfam family "Eukaryotic small subunit ribosomal RNA", at positions 1786 to 1831 of the family's 1831-position model. Lineage: Eukaryota; Fungi; Ascomycota; Dothideomycetes; Pleosporales; Corynesporascaceae. The record is from RNAcentral. RNAcentral also lists the same sequence under 2 other names.